UUUCCCUUUGUCACUCCGUAAGUACUCCUUGCCCCAGACCAAAGGGUGGGGAACUUCUCUGAGAAAAGUGGCUGCCCUCCAUAGCGGUCUUUGCUCACUUGAAAAUGCAGAUCCGAGGUAUCGGCUGUGGUAAGCCUCCUCUCGGAAUUCAUAGUAAGCUCGGCCAUGUUCAUCCUUCUCAUCCCGCUGUCUCUUUACCCCCCGCCGCUCACCAUCUGAGCCUGCUGGUUUUGACUUUUCACUAUCCUGGUCAUCUCCCUGUUCCUCGGCGGCCUUGUCACCCGGCACCUCGGAUCCCGGCGUCUCGUCCCCGCUCCGCUCCUCGGGUUCGUCUUCCUCCCUCUUGCCGAGGCCCUGCUCUUCGCCACCAUUUACCCCGCCUGACCCGGCCGUGGCCUCCGCCGGCUUCUCGGAAGCAUCUGGCUCGGCCGCGGCCUCCAUGGCUGCCGCCUCCGGGGGCUCCGGCGGCGGCUGCGCGGCCUGACCCAAGGCUUGAGCAGGGGGUGGCUCCUCGUCCUCGUCCUCAAGCAGCGCCUCCUCGUCCUCCUCCUCCUCCUCUUCGUCCUCCUCCUCGUCCCCGCCCGGGCCGCCGCCCGACGCGGCCACAGGCCGAGGCUCCGCCUUGCAGGCCCCGCCGGGCCCGGCCCCGCCGCCGCCGGCCUCGUCCUCGAGCAUCUCGGCGUCCAGCGCCUCCUGCAGCCGCUGCGCCAGAUCCACCUUGAGGCCGCGCGAGUCCAGGCCCCGCCGCUGCAGCUCCGACCGCAGCUCGGUCACUUUCAGCCGCUUCACCUCCAUCGCCGCCGCCGCCUCCUCCGCCUCCCGCCGCCUCCUCCCCUGCGAACCGUCGACCGAGUCCGACCGCGCAGGCGCCGCCGCCGCCGCCCGCCUCCGCCUCACGCGCCAGCACUGAGCCCGCGCGAGCGAGCGCACGCACGCAGGAGCGGAGGCCGCGCACGGUCCCGCUGCGCAGUGUUUGCUUCUCCUUCGUCUCCCCUCCCCCUUUCGGCUCACGGAGCCCAAAACAACGCAGCAGGGAGCUGUUUCCCCUCCAGGCCCUUGGUUCCCCAGCCGCGGGCAGGCGCGCGCGGAGGACGACGGAGUUCCUCCCGCUUCCUCCCGCCCUCUGGCGCCCCCGGG
RNAcentral lists this long non-coding RNA (1137 nucleotides) under Homo sapiens (human). RNAcentral describes it as "LNC_000625". The record is from RNAcentral. Lineage: Eukaryota; Metazoa; Chordata; Mammalia; Primates; Hominidae.